UGUUGUAUCUGUGUUGCUGACAGAGAUAAAUGUGAGGAUGUUAAAUAGAGUUCCAACUGUGCUCCAUGAUACCACCAUCUGCAAAAACAAGUGAUAGUGAAAGAUUUUUUUUAUUCUUUCAAGACUAAAGUAUCUAAUAAAAGAUCUGUCAAGGUUUGGCCCGUGACCAUGGAUGGACCAUUUAAGGUGAUGCUGUAACUAAACCAUCUGGGCCUCAGAAAGCAUCUAAAGAUCUUCCCCAGGCCGCCUGCGUCUUUCACCUUGUCCCCUUGAAAGCUCCGCCUCGUGAAUUAGACCCUGGGAGAGACGAAGUGAGUGAGCAACCAAACCGAUGGAGGACUGAAAGAGCAGCCAAAAUCAGCAAAAGUGAUGACAGGUUAUUUUUCACCACCCUCCCUUGACAGCGAAAUGCUGUUUUCACUUCUCCUCUGACACAUGGAAGAUUUAAUCUAGCCAUCUCUGGGCGGCCCUUCCGCUCUCGUAACCAAAUGAAAGCCAUGAUUACACGCGUUAAAGGCGGAGGGGGGGCUGGAGGCCUCGGUUCGAAAAAGGCCAAGGCAGCAGAUUCGUCCGGCCCGGCAGGGUGAUUCGACGUGCGUGGGUACAUGUGUUCAGACGCGUCUGUGUGUAAACCAUUACUUUUGAUGGUCGUAUUUAUUGUUAUAGAAGGUUAUUGUUUCGUGCGCCAGGUGGGAGACAUCUCGAGCCAUAAAAGUGAAUCGCACACGGCGGACGUGCACACUUCUGCUUUAAACAAUUAUUCGAAUGGCCCUCCCUCCUCAUCUAAAUCUCACCUCAUGUUCUUUUGAAAGGGCUUCGACCAAUAUUACAUGCAUUGUUUUCUAUUUUGCGUUAUGUAAAAUAAGUCAUAAUCGGUUUAGAGAUUACAACAUGUAGAUUUUCUCAAUGAUUAUCGCUGUGAUGACAAGGACAGUGUACAACUUAUUUUGCAUGUUUUUUCAAAACUUUCCAAAUGAUAUCCGCAUUUACCUUCCUGUGACUGUCCCUUUAAGUCAAGUGAGUCCUGUAUCACUGCAUGCAAUAUUUAUUCUCUUUCACUGCAAGGCCUUAAUGGUUAUUUUCCCAGCCAGCUGAGUGCACCAUAACUCCAGCACAAAGCAGCAGGGAACUUGAAAAUCACAAGGAUAUUUUAUGUUUAGAUAAGAAAGUGUCUAAACUAAUAACGAAUUUAUGAAUAAAAGCUUUACACGUACACCCGGCACAUUGACUAUGCCAUUUAUGUUUGCAAAUUCUGAUAAAUUCUGAUCGGUCUGGGUUAGACGGAAAGCACACAGUUUUAAUAAUUGAACCGUAUGUCACAUUAGCCGAGACUGACUUUGAUAGCAGAUUGUUCAUUAUUGUAAGUGCUAUGCUCAGUGCUGAGUUUAUGUCACUUUAUUAGCUUCGUUGCAGGAUACGUACACACCUCUCCUGCUGACACAGAAUAAAUAGUUUAAAGCGGUGACACCGAUGUGUUUGAAUGACACAUCCACCUCGCCUUUUGUCCUUUCCUGCAGUGGCCUCGUGCCAAACUCUUUUAAAAUCAUAUUAUCAAAUCGCCUACAGGACAGAAACUAUAUUUCUGACGAGCCGCCAAUAACAGACUAAUGUGAUUUGGCAAAUUGCGUUUAGAACGCUUUACAUUCUUGAUUGGAUUACUCUCAGCAAAAAAUUGGUUGCACUCCACUCCUAAUCAAGUUAAUCAUUGCUUUCACCUCAAAAUGUGUAAAAUGAAAAGGGAACAAGGUUCAUUAAAUAAACAGUGUGCAAACCGCAAGUUUUAAUAGGAUUAAUAUCGAGUUUACAUUUCCGAAAAGGAAACCUGUAUUAGUAAUACCUUGCCUUUCAGUCCUGUUUUAGAAUCGGAUAACGGUUUAGCUAGGCGGAUUAGUUGCAGUCAAUUGAAUCCUUAUUUAUUUACCAAAGCACCUCCACGAGAAGCCUGCUUUUUACUUCUUCAUUUCAAACAAACAAUAACUAUGAAAUGCUUGGAGUUAUGUAAGUUUCAUGG
Long non-coding RNA from Paramisgurnus dabryanus, 2011 nucleotides. RefSeq lists it as uncharacterized. Lineage: Eukaryota; Metazoa; Chordata; Actinopteri; Cypriniformes; Cobitidae. The record is from RefSeq and is a predicted model, not a curated record.